This 388-nucleotide ribosomal RNA is filed under the name Alexandrium tamarense. Its description in RNAcentral is "partial Eukaryotic small subunit ribosomal RNA". It matches the Rfam family "Eukaryotic small subunit ribosomal RNA", at positions 1 to 401 of the family's 1831-position model. Lineage: Eukaryota; Dinophyceae; Gonyaulacales; Pyrocystaceae. The record is from RNAcentral.
ACCUGGUUGAUCCUGCCAGUAGUCAUACGCUUGUCUCAAAGAUUAAGCCAUGCAUGUCUAAGUAUAAACAUCUUUAUACCGUGAAACUGCAGAUGGCUCAUUAAACCAGAAAUAAUUUCUUUGAUGGUGACUUACUACUUGGAUAUCCGUAGUAAUUCUAGAGCUAAUACAUGCGUCGACUCCUUUACUGGAGGUAUUUAUUAGAUCCGAACCAACCCCUCCGGGGUUUUAUGGUGAAUCAUGAUAACUGUUCGAAUCGCCGGGCUGGUCCUGGCGAUAGUUCAUUCAAAUUUCUGCCCUAUCAGCUAUUGACGGUAGUGUAGUGGACUACCGUGGCGUUAACGGGUGACGGAGAAUUAGGGUUCGAUUCCGGAGAGGGAGCCUGAGA